This 388-nucleotide ribosomal RNA is filed under the name uncultured bacterium. Its description in RNAcentral is "bacterial SSU rRNA". It matches the Rfam family "Bacterial small subunit ribosomal RNA", at positions 335 to 715 of the family's 1533-position model. The record is from RNAcentral.
ACUCCUACGGGAGGCAGCAGUGGGGAAUAUUGCACAAUGGGGGAAACCCUGAUGCAGCCAUGCCGCGUGUGUGAAGAAGGCCUUCGGGUUGUAAAGCACUUUCAGUAGGGAGGAAGGUAGUGUAGUUAACACCUGCAUUAUUUGACGUUACCUACAGAAGAAGCACCGGCUAACUCCGUGCCAGCAGCCGCGGUAAUACGGAGGGUGCGAGCGUUAAUCGGAAUUACUGGGCGUAAAGCGCAUGCAGGCGGCCUGUUAAGUCAGAUGUGAAAGCCCGGGGCUUAACCUCGGAAUUGCAUUUGAAACUGGCAGGCUAGAGUCUUGUAGAGGGGGGUAGAAUUUCAGGUGUAGCGGUGAAAUGCGUAGAGAUCUGAAGGAAUACCAGUGG